GGAGGGGGAAAGGGGUCCCUUAGCCCAGAUUGCAAGAGGGCGCAGGCCAGGCCAAGGGACCCCACUGGUACGCA
Molecule: microRNA precursor, 74 nt
Filed under: Myotis lucifugus (little brown bat)
Lineage: Eukaryota; Metazoa; Chordata; Mammalia; Chiroptera; Vespertilionidae
Description: mir-9193 microRNA precursor family
Rfam family: mir-9193 microRNA precursor family
Source: Rfam by way of RNAcentral